RNAcentral lists this long non-coding RNA (1499 nucleotides) under Capra hircus (goat). Its description in RNAcentral is "lncRNA (ENSCHIG00000001572.1)". The record is from RNAcentral. Lineage: Eukaryota; Metazoa; Chordata; Mammalia; Artiodactyla; Bovidae.
ACUCAGAGCACCAUCACCAUCGUCUUUCUUACAGUUCCGUUUUUUUUUUUUGGCUGAGCUGGGUAUUCGUUGCUGCUCUGGACUCUUCUUUAGUCGCAGUGAGUGGGGGCUACUCUCUAGUUGCAGUGCGCGGGCUUCCGUUGUGGAGGCUUCUUUUGUUGUGGAGCACCGGCUCUAGGCUGUGCAGCCUACCACAGCUGUGGCUCUUGGGCUCUAGAGCGCAGACUCAGUAGCUGUGGUACGCGGGCUUAGUCGGUCUGUGGCAUGUGGGAUCUUUCUGGACCAGGGAUCGAACGCGUGUCUCCUGCAUUAUCAGGUGGAUUCCUCACCACUGAGCCACCAGGGAAGCCACUUAUAGUUACUUGUAUUUAGCACUUACUGUGUGCCAUUCCAAAUACUUCUGAGUCUUAUCAUACUUAAUCCUCACAGUAAAGAUAUGCGGCAGCAAACAUUAUCAUCACCAUUUACAGAUGACAAACCAGAGGCAGGAUAGAGUUAUCUGACCUGGGCAAAGCUGCAGUUGGAACCCAGAGACCCAGGACCCGGAUGCUUGUUAAAGACUGCAUAAGGAGCUGCCCUGACUGGCUGAUCCCAUGGGAAAUGGACAUUGGAACUGAUACCUUAAGGGGCACCAGUAUCUUUGGCAGUUCCAGCUGAGGACAGGAAGGCCCUCCCUAAAGUUCAGCGAGCACUCAGGAAGGGGAGCCCCUUAGAGGUGAUUGUGGAAUGCUGGCUGAGCCUUGGAGGUGGUAAUUGAGGGGGGCAGCCAGUCCCAAACUCUGAUGUCCCUUUGGCCCCAGUUAGAGAUGGCGUCCUGGGUGGCUGUGCCCUAUUCUAGACAUACACAGGCCAGGGCCUAGGAUUAGCACACAGGGGCAGCCAGGAGCCCCCUCUGCAGGCCCCCAUCCCCCGGGGGUGCCUCGCCUGGCCAUCUCCCCCAGGGUAUGGGGGUUGGGCUGUGACUCUGAGCCCCUCUGCCACCUGCCUCAGGUCUGGUCUCCCUGCAGGGCACAUGGACAGAGGACCAUUCGCACCACAGAGUGGCUGAGCCCGUGCAAGUGGGCCUGGCUUUGCCCCACCCUACGCCCAGCAGCCCUGGGAAAACAAUGCCUUCUAAACACUGAGGCUGGGUGGCACUCAUUAGCACAAAGCUCCUUCCCUGCCCUCUGUUCCUGCACGGCAGCUGCCCAUCGGGUUACCUCUGGGAAGGGGCACCCUGGACAGGGCACUCCAGGGACUCUGGUCCUCUGCAUCCCUGGGAGCCUGGCUUUAAUCGCUCUCCUCCAGAAGUAUUUCUGCCCUGAUCCAGCCAACCCAAGGGCAGGCUCCCCUUCCCUGGAUGCCCACCACCUUGUUAUCUGUGUCACUCUUUGCUCAUUGCUCAAAUAAAUACUUAGCUGAUGGUAAUCAAAUACUGUUUGUUUGUUUUUAAACUUGUCCUUUCCCUCUAAUAAACCAAGUGAUUCCUGAGGGUCUUUCAAUGACUAGCAAUGACUGUG